UACGAAGGGGGCUAGCGUUGUUCGGAAUACUGGGCGUAAAGCGCGCGCAGGCGGUCUUCCAAGUCAGUGGUGAAAGCCUGGAGCUCAACUCCAGAACUGCCAUUGAAACUGUUAGACUUGAGUACGAGAGAGGUGAGUGGAAUUCCCAGUGUAGAGGUGAAAUUCGUAGAUAUUGGGAAGAACACCAGUGGCGAAGGCGGCUCACUGGCUCGUAACUACGCUCAGGCGCGACAGCCGUGGGGAUCAAACAGG
RNAcentral lists this ribosomal RNA (252 nucleotides) under uncultured bacterium. Its description in RNAcentral is "partial 16S ribosomal RNA". It matches the Rfam family "Bacterial small subunit ribosomal RNA", at positions 524 to 776 of the family's 1533-position model. The record is from RNAcentral.